GUGCCAACCAGCGAUAAACCUCACCGAAGAAGAAGAAGAAGAAGAAGAAGAAGAAGGGCGAAGCAACGCGAAGGUAGGCCAUGGCUCGCGGUCAACAGAAGAUUCAAUCCCAGCAAAAGAACGCCAAGGCUGCAGCUGCUAAGAAGAAGGGAGCGGCAGCAGACCAGAAGACUGCAGCCAAGGCAGCACUGGUCCACACCUGUCCCGUCUGUCGGACGCAGAUGCCGGACCCGAAGACGUUCAAGCAGCACUUUGAGAGCAAGCAUCCCAAAUCCCCAAUGCCCCCAGAGCUGGAUGAUGUUGAGGCUUAAAAGACCAACGCACACAAUGGACCUACAGCUGGGUUAAGAUGCUCUCAUCAUUCAGACUCCCAGUUUACAUACACACGAUGACCACGAUUAGAGCGCUGCAACUGGAACUUAAUGGCGUCAAGAGACAAAAUACUGAGACCCCUGGACAUGGGUGGGGGAUAUUUGUGACAAUGACCUAAAAAGGGGGCAGAAGCACACCAGCACCCCAUCUUCUAUGUCCAACCACCCCUCACCUUCAGACUCUUUUGAAGCACCCAUCUUAAUGAUAUGAGCCCACUCUACCUACAGCCCUUUUCCCCAUGCUGCUUCCUUCAUUAAUACCUGAUUCAGUAACAUCUAGACUGUUACACGUCUAAAAGUGUCAGGGUGUUACUGUUUUUGCAACUUUUUCUCAGUUGUGUAUCGCAGUCUUACUUUAACCCACAACUCUUUUUAUACCUCCUCCCAUACACUCUUGUGCAAAUAAUUUCUGCUUUCUUUGAGAAUGGUGUCAUAGUGGAAAGGAUUUGUUAUUUGCCUAAGACUGAGUCUUGUUCUGCCUGUAAAAGGCCCUGGUUGAAACAGUGCCAAAUCACUGUGGAUAGUCACCUGGUCCACGUUGUAACAGUUGUAUUUUGCAUUUGACCAUUUCCAAGAAAUGUAGCAAUAUAUAUGAAAUCAUUCCUCUGCCUAUUUGAUCCAUUCUGAAGGAAAGCAGUGAAUGUGUUGUGUGUGUGAGAGAAUAUGUAUGCCUUGUAAUUCUAGAAGAAAAUGUGUUACUUCCAAAUGCAAGUUAAACGCCAUUCCGUCUAUACUGAUACCAGACAAAUGCAUACUUACAAGUAUUUUCAAAUGUAUUUCCAAUAUACUGCAAUGCUAUGUAGCUGAAGAGUGGUGACACUGUUUAGAUAGGAGUGUCAAUUAGUUUCUGGAGGUCUGUGUUCACUGGCAAUUCCUCUCACUUCUGCAUCAAAUCAACCUCUACAAUAUAUAUUCUACUUAUUUUAUUACAAAUAUAGCAGUACACAGUCCUCCAUAAAUAUAUUGACAAUGACACAUUCCUGUGUAUUGGAUCCUCUGUACAUAGAAAAUCUAGGAAUAACAAAUAGGAAUGACAUUUGCCAUUGCUACUAACUUGUACUUGUUCAAAGUAUAAUUAAAGAAAUGUAAAAAAAAAUGUAGUAAUUUGUCACGCACUUAUGGUCCAUAUAUAUAGCGUUUUAAUUGAACCAUGUGUAGUACAUUAAGAGACAAUGACAAAUUCUUGGUUCAACAAGACAACAGUCAUCAAAAGGGUAGAAAUGUAGCAUUGUACUUGUGUCACAGUACUUUACAGCUUUGAUUGGAUUCAUAUACUAUAUGACAAAGGGUGAUAUAAAUAUCUGAAUUACUGUAGAUUUGAAUAGUUUAAGAGUGAAGUAUGGUUAUAAGUCGAAUGCGAAGAAAGGUCGUUAUGAAAGAGGUAAUUGGUGUUAUUCAUAUACCAUUCUCAUACUCAAAGUCAAUAUACUGAACAAAAAUAUAAACACCACAUAUAAAGUGUUUGUCCCACAUUUCAUGAACUGAAAUAAAAGAUCCCAGAAAUGUUCCAUAUGUAC
Molecule: RNA transcript, 1888 nt
Organism: Oncorhynchus masou masou (cherry salmon)
Lineage: Eukaryota; Metazoa; Chordata; Actinopteri; Salmoniformes; Salmonidae
Gene name: zinc finger protein 706-like
Exons: 4
Source: RefSeq, a predicted model, not a curated record